Vulpes vulpes (red fox) is the source of this 122-nucleotide small nuclear RNA. The record is from Ensembl. Lineage: Eukaryota; Metazoa; Chordata; Mammalia; Carnivora; Canidae.
AUGUUGCAUGAAAGGAGAAAAGAUUAACACUCCCCUAGACAAAGAGAGAAGAAGCCCUCAGGCCUGACAACACACAGUUAAGACAUUGCCACAUACUUUUUGGCAUCUAACCAUCAUUUUUU